Molecule: ribosomal RNA, 253 nt
Filed under: uncultured bacterium
Lineage: Bacteria
Description: partial 16S ribosomal RNA
Rfam family: Bacterial small subunit ribosomal RNA
Source: RNAcentral
GACGUAGGGGGCGAGCGUUGUCCGGAAUUACUGGGCGUAAAGAGCGUGUAGGCGGGUAUUUAAGUCAGGUGUGAAAUACCGGGGCUCAACCUCGGGGCUGCACCUGAAACUGGGUAUCUUGAGGGCAGGAGAGGGAAGUGGAAUUCCUGGUGUAGCGGUGAAAUGCGUAGAUAUCAGGAGGAACACCGGUGGCGAAGGCGGCUUCCUGGACUGACCCUGACGCUGAGACGCGAAAGCGUGGGGAGCAAACAGG